RNAcentral lists this ribosomal RNA (253 nucleotides) under uncultured bacterium. RNAcentral describes it as "partial 16S ribosomal RNA". It matches the Rfam family "Bacterial small subunit ribosomal RNA", at positions 524 to 776 of the family's 1533-position model. The record is from RNAcentral.
UACGUAGGGUGCGAGCGUUAAUCGGAAUUACUGGGCGUAAAGCGUGCGCAGGCGGCUUUGCGAGACAGAUGUGAAAUCCCCGGGCUCAACCUGGGAACUGCAUUUGUGACUGCAAGGCUAGAGUACGGCAGAGGGGGAUGGAAUUCCGCGUGUAGCAGUGAAAUGCGUAGAUAUGCGGAGGAACACCAAUGGCGAAGGCAAUCCCCUGGGCCUGUACUGACGCUCAUGCACGAAAGCGUGGGGAGCAAACAGG